AUUGAACGCUAGCGGCAUGCUUUACACAUGCAAGUCGAACGGUAACAGGGUGCUUGCACCGCUGACGAGUGGCGAACGGGUGAGUAAUGCGUCGGAACGUGCCGAGUAGUGGGGGAUAACGCAGCGAAAGUUGUGCUAAUACCGCAUACGUACUGAGGUAGAAAGUGGGGGACCUUCGGGCCUCACGCUAUUCGAGCGGCCGACGUCUGAUUAGCUAGUAGGUGAGGUAAAGGCUCACCUAGGCGACGAUCAGUAGCGGGUCUGAGAGGAUGAUCCGCCACACUGGGACUGAGACACGGCCCAGACUCCUACGGGAGGCAGCAGUGGGGAAUUUUGGACAAUGGGCGAAAGCCUGAUCCAGCCAUGCCGCGUGUCUGAAGAAGGCCUUCGGGUUGUAAAGGACUUUUGUCAGGGAGGAAAUCCCUAGUGCUAAUAACACUGGGGGAUGACAGUACCUGAAGAAUAAGCACCGGCUAACUACGUGCCAGCAGCCGCUGUAA
RNAcentral lists this ribosomal RNA (500 nucleotides) under uncultured bacterium. RNAcentral's name for it is "partial 16S ribosomal RNA". It matches the Rfam family "Bacterial small subunit ribosomal RNA", at positions 30 to 523 of the family's 1533-position model. The record is from RNAcentral.